RNAcentral lists this long non-coding RNA (267 nucleotides) under Hordeum vulgare. RNAcentral's name for it is "long non-coding RNA (HVUL_LNC001908)". Lineage: Eukaryota; Viridiplantae; Streptophyta; Magnoliopsida; Poales; Poaceae. The record is from RNAcentral.
CAUAGUCAAGUUCCCAUAUCUCAUCUAUGUACCCGUAAUAUGUUUCCAAACAGUGUCCAUUCUCGUAUGUUACAUCAAAGCGGACACCACUAUUUUGGUUGGUGCUCUUUUUAUCUUGGGCAACCGUGUAAAAUGUAUUCCCAUUUAUCUCAUACCCUUGGAAAGUACAUAUAGUCAAAGAUGGUGGCUUGGCCAAAUAGUACAGUUGAUCUCCAACGGUGUCGUCAUUCAUGAGAUGUGUCUGCAACCAACUGCCGAAAGUCUUCU